RNAcentral lists this small RNA (105 nucleotides) under Mytilus galloprovincialis (Mediterranean mussel). The record is from RNAcentral. Lineage: Eukaryota; Metazoa; Mollusca; Bivalvia; Mytilida; Mytilidae.
CACAUGCUGUUGCAAUACUUUGUACCUGUACAUAUAUUUUUUUAAUAGUUAUGAUAACUAUUAAAAAAAUAUAUGUACAGGUACAAAGUAUUGCAACAGCAUAUG